Molecule: long non-coding RNA, 754 nt
Organism: Labrus mixtus (cuckoo wrasse)
Lineage: Eukaryota; Metazoa; Chordata; Actinopteri; Labriformes; Labridae
Exons: 2
Source: RefSeq, a predicted model, not a curated record
AUUUCAACUGAACUGCUUGAACCGGUACUUUGACUGGUUUCUAGGCAAUGGUGCUACCUGUAAAAUGUUACAAAAUUAAGAGUUUAAUUUAACAUAAUGGAGGAACCUCUGCUUCAACAUGCCAGUACACAAUUUGUUGGAGACCUGUUUUGCAUAGGUUCUCAGCUGCAACAUUACAAAAAUGAAUGCCUUUAUUGGUCUUUAAAAAUAGAUGGAAAGAAAACAUGGAUUUACACACAGUAACAGAAGUUUGGGAUGUAAAAGUAAGUUACACCAUGGCAGUAGUUUUCUUCUGAGUUUUUGGACAAAGGGAGAGUUGAUCCACUUCUGUGGUCUGUGGAGGCAAAACUGACUUGGCUGCAUUUCCUUGGACCAUCACAGGAUAUAAAGACUCCUGUACACAAGGACUGUUAAACAUCCUACCCAUGAUGGAUAUCGGUAAAUGUUGGACUUCGUCUUGCCCAUUUAACCAACACAGCUCCAUAUUUCAUCACCUGAAGUUGGAAGAAACACUCAUGCAAUCAUUUGCUGUCUUGCUGUGAUUAUAUUUAAUUAAUAAUGGUUUCAUUUUAGAAUCUCUGGAUGAUUGUUCAGCGAAAAAGUAGUGAAGAGAGAAAUAAUUGAUCAGAUAAUGUUUUUAAAACCAUGCAGUAAAUUGUCUUUAAAAUGAGCUAUUUGACUUCUUAUUUUGUGAAACCUGACAGAUCUUUAUAAGAAAUUAAGGAAUAAAAUGAAGUCUGUUAAAAACUUGAAA